AUGCUGCCGGUAUGCGUCGCUGACCUCCGUCAGCACCAUGCCCAGGCAGCCCCGGUCUUCAAGGCUGCAACGCGGUUCGCCGCGUGGAUCGAACCAGUCCGCCUCGCAUCACCCACCGCGGACGAGCGUUUUCACAACGCCGAUGC
Regulatory RNA element from Thauera terpenica 58Eu, 146 nucleotides. It matches the Rfam family "radC RNA". The record is from Rfam. NCBI's taxonomy places the organism in Bacteria, Pseudomonadati, Pseudomonadota, Betaproteobacteria, Rhodocyclales, Zoogloeaceae.